UACGGGGGGGGGCAAGCGUUGUUCGGAAUUACUGGGCGUAAAGGGUUAGUAGGUGGCCAACUAAGUCAGACGUGAAAUCCCUCAGCUUAACUGGGGAACUGCGUCUGAGACUGAUUGGCUCGAGGACAGGAGAGGAACGCGGAAUUCCAGGUGUAGCGGUGAAAUGCGUAGAUAUCUGGAGGAACACCGGUGGCGAAGGCGGCGUUCUGGACUGUUUCUGACACUGAAUAACGAAAGCCAGGGGAGCAAACGGG
This 254-nucleotide ribosomal RNA is filed under the name uncultured bacterium. RNAcentral's name for it is "partial 16S ribosomal RNA". It matches the Rfam family "Bacterial small subunit ribosomal RNA", at positions 524 to 776 of the family's 1533-position model. The record is from RNAcentral.